This 253-nucleotide ribosomal RNA is filed under the name uncultured bacterium. Its description in RNAcentral is "partial 16S ribosomal RNA". It matches the Rfam family "Bacterial small subunit ribosomal RNA", at positions 524 to 776 of the family's 1533-position model. The record is from RNAcentral.
UACGGAUGGCGCAAGCGUAGUUCGGAAUCAUUGGGCGUAAAGCGCGUGUAGGCGGUCUGGUCAGUCGGGUGUGAAAGCCCGGAGCUCAACUCCGGAACUGCAUUCGAUACUGCCAGGCUAGAGUCCCGGAGAGGGUGGUGGAAUUCCCGGUGUAGAGGUGAAAUUCGUAGAUAUCGGGAGGAACACCAGUGGCGAAGGCGGCCACCUGGACGGUGACUGACGCUGAGACGCGAAAGCGUGGGGAGCAAACAGG